This 79-nucleotide microRNA precursor is filed under the name Pelobates cultripes (western spadefoot toad). The record is from RNAcentral. Lineage: Eukaryota; Metazoa; Chordata; Amphibia; Anura; Pelobatidae.
UGUGUGUGUGUGUGUAUGUAUGUAUAUAUAUAUAUAUGUAUUAUAUAUAUAUAUAUACAUACAUACACACACACACACA